This 312-nucleotide ribosomal RNA is filed under the name Triticum aestivum (bread wheat). RNAcentral describes it as "partial small subunit ribosomal RNA". The record is from RNAcentral. Lineage: Eukaryota; Viridiplantae; Streptophyta; Magnoliopsida; Poales; Poaceae.
AUGGUGAAACUGUUAGCUUCUUAUGAUGAGGAGGUCGGUUCUGUUGUACUAGGUAAUGCUCCAAGAAAUGCAAAGUAUACUUCACCAAAUAUUCAAAAAGAAAUCCUGCAUAUUAUGGCUUGUGACAUGCAAAGUUCAAUCCGCAAUGAGAUUGGUGAUGCCAAGUACUGCUUGCUUGUAGAUGAAUCAAGAGAUGAAUCUAAAAGAGAGCAAAUGGCCCUUGUUCGCCGUUUUGUUGAUAAACAAGGUUUCAGUCGAGAACAUUUUUUUUUGAUAUUGUUCAUGUUAAAGAUACAUCUUCAGCAACUUUGA